This 459-nucleotide ribosomal RNA is filed under the name uncultured bacterium. Its description in RNAcentral is "partial 16S ribosomal RNA". It matches the Rfam family "Bacterial small subunit ribosomal RNA", at positions 338 to 795 of the family's 1533-position model. The record is from RNAcentral.
CCUACGGGAGGCAGCAGUGAGGAAUAUUGGUCAAUGGGCGGGAGCCUGAACCAGCCAAGCCGCGUGAAGGAAGAAGGCGCCAGGCGUCGUAAACUUCUUUUGUCGGGGAACAAAGGGCGCCACGCGUGGCGUUGUGAGUGUACCCGAAGAAAAAGCAUCGGCUAACUCCGUGCCAGCAGCCGCGGUAAUACGGAGGAUGCGAGCGUUAUCCGGAUUUAUUGGGUUUAAAGGGUGCGUAGGCGGUCCGGAAAGUCAGCGGGAAAAGCCCGGGGCUCAACCCCGGCGAGCCGUUGAAACUGUCGGACUAGAGACGGCGAGAAGUACGCGGAAUGCGCGGUGUAGCGGUGAAAUGCAUAGAUAUCGCGCAGAACUCCGAGUGCGAAGGCAGCGUACCGGCGCCGGACUGACGCUGAGGCACGAAAGCGUGGGUAUCGAACAGGAUUAGAUACCCUAGUAGUC